This 468-nucleotide ribosomal RNA is filed under the name uncultured bacterium. RNAcentral describes it as "partial 16S ribosomal RNA". It matches the Rfam family "Bacterial small subunit ribosomal RNA", at positions 28 to 507 of the family's 1533-position model. The record is from RNAcentral.
GACGAACGCUGGCGGCGUGCUUAACACAUGCAAGUCGAACGGAAAGGCCCUGCUUUUGUGGGGUGCUCGAGUGGCGAACGGGUGAGUAACACGUGAGUAACCUGCCCUUAACUUUGGGAUAACUUCAGGAAACUGGGGCUCAUACCGGGUAGGAGCUCCUGCUGCGUGGGGGGGGUUGGAAAGUUUCGGCGGUUGGGGAUGGACUCGCGGCUUAUGCGCUUGUUGGUGGGGUAGUGGCUUACCAAGGCUUUGACGGGUAGCCGGCCUGAGAGGGUGACCGGCCACAUGGGGACUGAGAGACGGCCCAGUCUCCUACGGGAGGCAGUAGUGGGGAACAUGGCACAAUGGGCGCAAGCCUGAUGCAGCAACGCUGCGUGCGGGAUGACGGCCUUCGGGUUGUAAACCGCUUUCGCCUGUGACGAAGCGUGAGUGACGGUAAUGGGUAAAGAAGCACCGGCUAACUACGUG